GGCGGACGGGUGAGUAACGCGUAAGGAACUUGCCUCUUGGACUGGGACAACUGUUGGAAACGACAGCUAAUACCGGAUAUUAUGAGAUUCUCGCAUGAGAAAUUUAUGAAAGCUAUAUGCGCCAAGAGAGAGCCUUGCGUUCCAUUAGCUAGUUGGUGGGGUAACGGCCCACCAAGGCGACGAUGGAUAGCCGGCCUGAGAGGGUGAACGGCCACAAGGGGACUGAGACACGGCCCUUACUCCUACGGGAGGCAGCAGUGGGGAAUAUUGGACAAUGGGCCACAAGCCUGAUCCAGCAAUUCUGUGUGCACGAUGAAGGUCUUCGGAUUGUAAAGUGCUUUCAGUUGGGAAGAAGAAAGUGACGGUACCAACAGAAGAAGCGACGGCUAAAUACGUGCCAGCAGCCGCGGUAAUACGUAUGUCGCAAGCGUUAUCCGGAUUUAUUGGGCGUAAAGCGCGUCUAGGCGGAAAAAUAAGUCUGAUGUUAAAAUGCGGGGCUCAACUCCGUAUUGCGUUGGAAACUGUUUUUCUAGAGUACUGGAGAGGUGGGCGGAACUACAAGUGUAGAGGUGAAAUUCGUAGAUAUUUGUAGGAAUGCCGAUGGAGAAGUCAGCUCACUGGACAGAUACUGACGCUGAAGCGCGAAAGCGUGGGGAGCAAACAGGA
Molecule: ribosomal RNA, 666 nt
Filed under: uncultured bacterium
Lineage: Bacteria
Description: bacterial SSU rRNA
Rfam family: Bacterial small subunit ribosomal RNA
Source: RNAcentral